Molecule: long non-coding RNA, 6440 nt
Organism: Equus quagga
Lineage: Eukaryota; Metazoa; Chordata; Mammalia; Perissodactyla; Equidae
Exons: 3
Source: RefSeq, a predicted model, not a curated record
CUCAGGUGCCAAUCUUUAAAAAAAAAGAGUUGAAAAAUCAAAGGAAGAAUAUGGUCACGUGUCACUUAAUGACGGGGACACGUUCUGAGAGACGCAUCCUUAGGUGAUUUCAUCAUCGUAUGAACAUCACAGGGUGACUUACACAGACCUGGAUGGUACAGCCCACUACACGCCAGGCUUUAUGGUGCUAAUCUUAUAGGACUGUCGUCCUGUAGUAUACACGGUCUGUCAUUGACUGAAACGUCGUGUGCUGCAUGACUACUUCAUGACAGGAGUUUAUAUGAAAUUCACAUUUCCAUGUCCAUAAGUAAAGUGGUGUCCAAACACAGCCACACCCAUUUCUCACUGGCUGCUUUGGUGCAGAUUUGAGGGCAGAUUUGAAUAGUUGUGAUAAAUAAAUGACAAGCAAUGGGAUAUAUUGGAGUAUCUGAAGAAGCUACUUGGUGUAAAACUAAUCCGGCCUGACCUCGUUUUUCCAAAAGGACCUGAUGUGGCCUGUCGGGCAUGUAUUGGAUAUCUACUUUAAAUAUUUACUGCAUCCCAAAUACAAGAAUGAUGCCCCUAAAGAUAGGGAUGUAACGUCCCCCUUUCCUUAGGACAAGCAUCUCUCCCUAAACUAAGGAUUAAUUACUGACCUGCUGUGCUCACCUUGUGACCCCUCUCCUCAAGACCACAGACCUGCUCUGUUCACCGAAUUGCUGUGCCGACAAAGCAAUCUCGUGACUAUUGUAAAAGGGACAUUCCGAUCACGGGUGAUGCAUGCUCUCUGAUGGUGUAUAACCACCCUGUACACCCCACUUCUUUGGAGUGCUCUGUUCCUUUGGGAAAAGACUCUCCUGGGCUAUGUGGUCUUCAGAUCUGAGUCAUGAUAAACUCACCCCAAUUUUGAUUUAUAGAUUGGUUAUGGAUUAUUUGCAUCAACAGUUGCAAAAGAGACCACGUGGCCCACAAAGCCUAAAAUGCUUGCAAGAGUUUAUAUGGUUUCAGAAACGCAGAGGUGGCAAUUUCAAAGUGAUUACCAAGCCAAUGUGUUCAAAUAAGAAAACAAGUCAGAGACACAGGCUGCUCUGGUUUCAUUUUCACAACUUGCAACAUGUUUUAAAGUCUUAGCAGUUUUACCAGACCUCUGUGUUCAACUUGUUCUUCCAAAGACAGUGAACAGAACAAACUGGUAACACUUUGGAAUAUCUGCCAAAGUCCCUAUUGCACAGAAAAACAAGUUUGAUAUUCUAGUGAAUGUUAUCAAGUUAACGCCCCAUUAAAUCAGAUCUUUUCUAACAAGUGUUAACUGUAAAGAGGUCUGCCCCGGGGAGAGAACGUCUCCCUCCUCUCUUUCUCAGACUUUCUGUUCAUUAUGAAGACUUGCUUUUUUUUUUUUUUUAGGUCAGGCUCUGGAAUUUCAUGACUUAGCAUUAAAAGCAUAACAAGGCCAGUAGAGAUCAAUUUUAAUAGCAGUGACAAGAGGUUUACACAUAUUGAGGUAUAUGGGGUAACUAUUUGGGUUCAAAAGUGAUUCAGCUUGAACUAGAAAGCCUGGCUUAUAGCUUAUCAAACACAUAUUGUGUAUCUGCUCAUCCAUUAAAGAAUGCCCCCUCUCAAGAUGAGAAUGCAGACUGCCACUUCUAGCGCUCUUGGUAACGCCAUAUUAGUCCCUUUCCUGACAUCGGGGUCAUGUUGACCUGCUAAUUUGCACUAAAUACCUCUUUGAAAUUUUGAUGAAAAUGUAUCCUGGAUGUGUUUAAUGUGUGUUCUUUGUCCUAAAAAGAUACAAAACUGUUCUGAAAACCAUGCUUCUCAGGAACGCUGUCUAAGGCCUUCCCAGGUUAGAAUCCUCAGUUUGGCUCGUAAUGGACUCACCUUAUUUCUCUUCUCUAUAGAUGGUUCUUGGUUAUUUUGCGUCACAGCAGACAUGGAAUAGGGGCGGGUCGGAAUGUCCUCGGUCACGGGGAGCAUGCAGCUGGGCACGCAGGGAGAAGCCUGCCUGACGGCAGUGACACAGAAACAGCAGGGCCAGAGGAGAAGGGCGGCUCCUGAGGACGUCUCUCAAGGGCAGCAUCUGGCUCUACACACAUGUGAGCCCUUACCUUCCUUCUGGUGCUGAGCCAGGUAGGGUUGAGGUUUUGUCACUUACCAUGGAAAUAGUCCUAACUGGAGGACAAAGUCCAGAGCGAGUUCACCGAAACGACCCGCAGAGGUGGUGGAUGCAAGAUGGGAUGAAGAGGAGACGGAUGGCUUCAAGGUGACCUCAGGAGUGUCAGGAUCUGAGGAAGAUGGUGUGGGCACAGAGACAGGAGCGUGCAUUCCCGCUGGGAAGACGAAGGGUCAAGUUUGGGACAUGCCGGGUUUGCGGUGAUGGAAGAUGUAGCCCAUGAAGGGAACCAGAAUAUGUCCCCCCAAAAGGUGCCUAUGACAUAAAAAUUAUUUUGAGCUGAAGGCAAUUAAGGAGCAGCAAACCCAGGAAAAUCUCCCCCUUUUCUGCCUAAAGGCAAGAUUUAAACUCUCCUUUUCCUGGAGACAGACUCUCAUCAGCCCAGGGCGAUAGAGGACUCUGCACACGGACCUUCUCCACUGCUCCCUGCGCUGCCUCUCCCUGCCCACGGUUGCCGCCCUGGAAGACCAAGACUGCCUGUCCUGUCACUCCUCUGCACAGUGUUGUUCUCUGUGGAAGGCACUCUACAGGCUGGAUUCUGGGCCUCCAUUUUGAGUUAUGUUGGUUCAGGUUCUCUGCAUGAUGUGCACUGCAUGCCACUAACAGACUGUUUUUCUCUUGUUAAUCUAGCUUUUUGUUACGGGGCCUCAGCCAAGAACUCAGAGGGUAGAGGGAAGAUUGGUUCCUCUCCUACACCCACAAACACUCCUGAGAUUCAGGGGUGAGCCUGAGCACCUGGUCCAGACCAGAGAUGUCAACCAAGGAGUCAUCAGCACAGAGCUGUAGCUGAAACUGUCAGGAUGAGCUGCCAGAAGCCCUGGAGAGCAGAGAGGGCUGAGGACUGAGUCUCAGGAAGCCUGGGUCUCACACACACGGGAGCGGGGAGAGCCAUGGAAAAGUGGCUUUCAUUAGAAAAGUGGUUGGAAGAGCAAAGAGGAUGAGGCGUCCUCUUGUCCCAAAAGGCCAGGAGGAGUGGGCAGGAGAGGCAGGGUGGGGGUUGGGGUGACAGAUCAGCAUUUGGGUGGUAGAGCUCGUGAGGCUUCCUGGAAACGUUCUAGAAAGGCCACCUCUGAAUGUGUGAAAGUGGGGAGUGAGGCAGACCUCGUACUCUCACAGACCAACAUGCGGUCAAGCCGAGACAGGCUGCCUUGAGGCCUCCAUGGACACUCCCAUUCCUGUCUGCCUCUCCCCCCCACCCCAUGAACCCCAGGCCAAUCUGGUGUGUCUGAGACGCCCGCCGAGGCUGGGCCACUUCCCUUUGUCCACGUCUCUGAGAGCGGGUCCUCCUCUGGGGUGCCAGCAGGCGGGCAGGGCCGGGAGGUCAGGUUGCUCAGGGGACCUCUGGUCGUCUUGUCCAAGGCGUCGUCCUGCCUGGUGGGCUCCACGUGCAGCUUCCCUGGGGCCAGACUUCCUAGGGUUCCUGCCUGCAGACCACAGCCCCGGUGCUCGGCCUGCGAGCUGUGCGGAGGCGGGGGUAGUGAAAUCCUGCAGGUUUGCCCUCAUCCCAUGCGGGCUCUCAGAGCGAGGACCUUUUCAGUAACAUUCUGAUUUGAUGCAGGAACACAAGAUUCUUUGCCUUCUGCUUCAAAGUCUCGCAGAACUAUUCUGUGCUCAAAUGACAUGCAAAGUCCCAGGCAGUUCACAAUGGGUCAAUUUUGGGGGAAGUCAGACCUGGGUGAGGGUGGAGAACAUUCAUUCAUUCAUUCAUUCAUUCUGUUAAGAGGUUUUCACAUGUUGAGGUAUAUGGGGUAAGUAUUUGGGUUCAAAACUGAUUCGGCUUGGACUAGAAAGCCUGGUGUAUGCCUGUCAAACACAUAUUGUCCAUCUGCUUAUCCAUUAAAGAAUGCACCCUUCUGAUAAGAAUGCAGACUUCCCCUCCUACGCCCUGUUGGUGACGUCUGGAUUAGUCCUUUCCAACAUCAGGGUCAUGUUGACCUGCUGAUUUGUGCUAAAUACCUCUUUGAAAAUGUAUCCUGGGUGUGUUCACUGUAUGUUCUUUUGUUCUAAAAAGAUGUAAGACUGUGCUGAAACCCAUGCUUCUCCGGAACGCUUUCCUCCUUUCUGGAAAAGGCCUUCCCAGGUUAUAAUCCUCACACUGACUCAAGUAAACUCACCUUGUUUCUCUUAUCUACAGAAUGGUUAUUGGUUAUUCUGCGUCGAUGUUUCAUUCGGCAGGUCUUUAUUUACCUGUUCUGGCCGAUGGUAGACCUCUGGGAUAUAGUGAUGAUGAAGAGAGACCUGAUCCUCAUCUUCAUGGAGUUUACAGCCCAACAGGAAGACAGAAAACAGUAACAAGGCAGAGGAGACAGAGAUGAACAGCAAGGGCCUACUUUCCGUAGGGCCAUCAGCAGAGGUAUCUGGGAGGAGGCGACAUUCAGGCUGCAUCGUAAAAUAUGCGCUGCUGGCGUCCAGCUUUGUUCAUCUGUGACACGUCAGCAGACCUCACAGGCUGUGGCAAGAAGCCUGGGUUUUAUUGCAAGUGCAAGAGAGAGCCCUGGAAGGUUGUAACAGAGGCGACGAGCCGUGGCUUGGAUCUAAGAUGCUCCUGGCUGCCGUGGGGAACAGUCAUCCCUGUGGGUCACUGGGCGUCGUCCUGCGGACGCCUCGCCUCACGCCCCCGUUUGUCACUGGCAUUGCGGAAGAGCUGGAGAGCCGCUAGGAUGGAGAGACUCCGAGGCUGAGAGCGCCUGAGAUGGAUGCACAGUUGCUCAAUCGGGACACCAGCCCGGCUCCGCACUGUGACUCUUGAUUCAAACAGAUCUUCCUGUUUUCCAGCGAGGUGCUGGUCCCAGGUCCUCUCCAGGCUCAGGGGACGCAGUUUCACACACGCGUUUCCUUUUACAGAGCUCCCUGGAGAAUACUGUGAAUGUGCGACUGCGUUGGGGUCUCAUAAUAAGGAGGAAAAAUUUUGCUCUUUACACUUACCACCACCGAACACUUUGUUUCUCCUUAUUUUUCCUGCCUGCUGGGCCUUCCUACUCCAGCCUUGCAGACGAAGGCAGCAGCCGCCUCCCAGGACUGGGUGUUCCGUCCCCGAUGCUUGGGGCCAGGCACAGUGUUAGCCAGGGCCGAAGACAAGCCGUCUCUUGUCCCUUCCUCUCCAGCUGUAAUCAAUAGCCUCCUGGUGGCACUGCUGGACCUGGAGACCUGACCUCGUGGUCCCGCUAAUGACUGUGCAGGAAUAAAUAAUUUAGAUUCUUAAUGAGGGUUUGAGCUAUUUCCCCAACAAACCCAACUUUCCGGCUACUGUAGGCCUCAGAGCUCAGCAGCGCGCAUCUCUGAGACUACUGCCGUUUUCACACUCUUUCCUCACAGUCAGGAAGUAUUUGGAAUUUGGUUUUCAAGAAAAGUAUCGAUCUGCUCUGAUGACGGGGCCCCUCGAGGGCACGCCUGGGAAGUGAAGUCCAUUCCGAGCGUUGCUGGGGGAAGCAAGACGGCAGACCCAGACGUGAGCCCAACUCCUGCCUGGACCUCCCCCACACACGGCAGGAGACAAACCACAAUUUAUGGUUUCUGAGCCCAUUAUGACCUCUUUCUAGGGGUUGCACCGAAAUUUGGGGAGCUUCUGCAGUGCCAAGGAGUGGGUGGCCGGGGCAGCUCGGUGUCCUCGCUGACCAGCUGCAUGUUCUCGUUUCUGUCCAGUCUUUGGUGGCUGGUGCAUGAGUCACUGCCAUGCCGGCCCCAUGUCCCCAGGUCUCCAGCUCUGUGCUGUGCCUCACUCAGUUUGUUCACGACGUUUCACUGCUCUGUGCCAUCUCGGCGACAAGACCUCCAUCCCCAGGGCCUCUGGGGCCCGGGGACCACAGCCUGACCCUCUGCCGCAGCUUGUGACACUGAGCAACUCAGCCCCUGUGCCUGCAUCAAAGACUGCCAACUGGAGCCCCACAGGUGACCCUCAGACAUGUCUGCUUUGAUCCAUACUAAUUAGUAAAAAGAAAUAAAAAUUAGAGCCAACGCAUAAAUCAGAAGAUUUCACAUAUUUUGGAUCCUCCUCCUAUUUCUCUGAGCCCACAAAUAGUCUUAUAUCACCUCAAAACUAUGUCCCCGCAAUAUGGCUCAAUGUGCCACUUUGAGCUCACUGUUUCCAGGUCUGCUCGCACCUUACUGUGUGUGGAGCCAGAGACCAGGCAUCCCCUGGGCCCCGGCACCCCUCGGACUGUCUGUGACAAGGAUCAGUUUAAAAUUUUCCCAUUGACCACAGACCAAUACUUCUGUAAAAUACGAUAAAAAUGUAACACCAGAAAAUGAAAUUAAAAAGAUACACACUAUACAAGCUCCACUUAUUCUUAGU